GGAAAUCCUUGACUCCCACAGCGAUUUUACUCGAUCGCUUUCACAUCAGUCAGCAUCCCCCGAAGCAUAUGAUCAAGAGAAUGUAUUUUCUCAAGACUUCCAACCGUUCAUGAAACAAGAUAAGGAGACGCAGAAUUCGGCUUCACAGCCAACUUCUGAACAAUCGUUGGCCAAUC
RNAcentral lists this small RNA (176 nucleotides) under Caenorhabditis elegans. RNAcentral's name for it is "Unclassified non-coding RNA F52E1.18". Lineage: Eukaryota; Metazoa; Nematoda; Chromadorea; Rhabditida; Rhabditidae. The record is from RNAcentral.